GGUAGCCUAGUUAUUUAAAUGAAUAUAAAGAUAGGCCUACAACAUUUCCAACGCCUUGUACUUUUGCUAUCGCACCGUUCAAACGGUCGUUUUAUGAAACAAACAAUUUGCACCACUUAUUAUCGUACACAUUGAGAUUAGAGGUGUCGCCAAGCCAUUGAGUUCCAGGUGAUUUCCGAACGCUCCGCAAAAUCGAGUAGAAGAGGAUGUUUUUGAAAUGAUUAAAAAAAAAAAAUGCAUUUCCUCUGGGAAUUCGGCCGAACUGUAAGAGAAACAAACUUGGUGAUAACAAGAGGAUUACUUCAACUUCAGGACAGUAGCCACUUCCUUCAUCUGACAAUUAUCUUCUUUGGAAUGUGGACCCAGUAAACAUUUAACUCUGCCCUUCCAGACUCAUCCUGCUGUGAUUUAAUGAUAGACACCUGUGGUGUCACACUAACCAAGGCACAGAGACCAGUCCACC
Molecule: long non-coding RNA, 463 nt
Organism: Oncorhynchus masou masou (cherry salmon)
Lineage: Eukaryota; Metazoa; Chordata; Actinopteri; Salmoniformes; Salmonidae
Exons: 3
Source: RefSeq, a predicted model, not a curated record